GCCCGCUCAGACAUUCAAAGGAAGUUGACGGGGAGCACUACAACGGGUGGAGCCUGCGGUUUAAUUGGAUUCAACGCCGGAAAUCUCACCGGGGGCGACAGCAAUAUGAAGGUCAGGCUGAAGACCUUACCCGAUUAGCUGAGAGGUGGUGCAUGGUCGUCGUCAGUUCGUACUGUGAAGCAUCCUGUUAAGUCAGGCAACGAGCGAGACCCACGUCCACAGUUGCCAGCAUACCCUCCGGGGUGAUGGGUACACUGUGGAGACCGCCGCUGCUAAAGCGGAGGAAGGAGUGGGCAACGGUAGGUCAGUAUGCCCCGAAUCUCCCGGGCUACACGCGGGCUACAAUGGUUGGUACAAUGGGCAUCUACCCCGAAAGGGGAAGGAAAUCUCUUAAAGCCAAUCGUAGUUCGGAUUGAGGGCUGCAACUCGCCCUCAUGAAGCUGGAAUCCGUAGUAAUCGCGUUUCAACAGAACGCGGUGAAUACGUCCCUGCUCCUU
Molecule: ribosomal RNA, 497 nt
Filed under: uncultured Methanosaeta sp.
Lineage: Archaea; Methanobacteriati; Methanobacteriota; Methanomicrobia; Methanotrichales; Methanotrichaceae
Description: bacterial SSU rRNA
Rfam family: Archaeal small subunit ribosomal RNA
Source: RNAcentral